UCUUCAUUUCGCUCACUCUCUCACCGGUCGGAGAGGCGAGAACGUGUGUGAGAUGAAGAGA
RNAcentral lists this microRNA precursor (61 nucleotides) under Pristionchus pacificus. RNAcentral's name for it is "mir-8364 microRNA precursor family". It matches the Rfam family "mir-8364 microRNA precursor family". Lineage: Eukaryota; Metazoa; Nematoda; Chromadorea; Rhabditida; Neodiplogasteridae. The record is from Rfam by way of RNAcentral.